UGUGUGUUAGUGGAAGCGUCUGGAAAGGCGCGCGAUACAGGGUGACAGCCCCGUACACAAAAAUGCACAUGCUGUGAGCUCGAUGAGUAGGGCGGGACACGUGGUAUCCUGUCUGAAUAUGGGGGGACCAUCCUCCAAGGCUAAAUACUCCUGACUGACCGAUAGUGAACCAGUACCGUGAGGGAAAGGCGAAAAGAACCCCGGCGAGGGGAGUGAAAAAGAACCUGAAACCGUGUACGUACAAGCAGUGGGAGCACGCUUAGGCGUGUGACUGCGUACCUUUUGUAUAAUGGGUCAGCGACUUAUAUUCUGUAGCAAGGUUAACCGAAUAGGGGAGCCGAAGGGAAACCGAGUCUUAACUGGGCGUUAAGUUGCAGGGUAUAGACCCGAAACCCGGUGAUCUAGCCAUGGGCAGGUUGAAGGUUGGGUAACACUAACUGGAGGACCGAACCGACUAAUGUUGAAAAAUUAGCGGAUGACUUGUGGCUGGGGGUGAAAGGCCAAUCAAACCGGGAGAUAGCUGGUUCUCCCCGAAAGCUAUUUAGGUAGCGCCUCGUGAACUCAUCUCCGGGGGUAGAGCACUGUUUCGGCAAGGGGGUCAUCCCGACUUACCAACCCGAUGCAAACUGCGAAUACCGGAGAAUGUUAUCACGGGAGACACACGGCGGGUGCUAACGUCCGUCGUGAAGAGGGAAACAACCCAGACCGCCAGCUAAGGUCCCAAAGUCAUGGUUAAGUGGGAAACGAUGUGGGAAGGCCCAGACAGCCAGGAUGUUGGCUUAGAAGCAGCCAUCAUUUAAAGAAAGCGUAAUAGCUCACUGGUCGAGUCGGCCUGCGCGGAAGAUGUAACGGGGCUAAACCAUGCACCGAAGCUGCGGCAGCGACACUGUGUGUUGUUGGGUAGGGGAGCGUUCUGUAAGCCUG
RNAcentral lists this ribosomal RNA (924 nucleotides) under Escherichia coli. RNAcentral describes it as "partial 23S ribosomal RNA". It matches the Rfam family "Bacterial large subunit ribosomal RNA", at positions 323 to 1251 of the family's 2925-position model. Lineage: Bacteria; Pseudomonadati; Pseudomonadota; Gammaproteobacteria; Enterobacterales; Enterobacteriaceae. The record is from RNAcentral.